UUGGCAAUAUGUCUACGCUGGU
This 22-nucleotide non-coding RNA is filed under the name Arabidopsis thaliana (thale cress). The record is from RNAcentral. Lineage: Eukaryota; Viridiplantae; Streptophyta; Magnoliopsida; Brassicales; Brassicaceae.